Molecule: long non-coding RNA, 505 nt
Filed under: Mus caroli (Ryukyu mouse)
Lineage: Eukaryota; Metazoa; Chordata; Mammalia; Rodentia; Muridae
Description: predicted gene, 31887 (MGP_CAROLIEiJ_G0002806.1)
Source: RNAcentral
AAAGGAGCAUCUGCCUAGAGCACAUGUGCACAGGUCUGGCUGCUGCUGUUCUCAUUCUCUGGUAACACGACAUUGACUCACAAGUGUUGGACAGAAACCGUCUACAUCUCUGUAACAAGCCCACGGCACCAGGUUUGAUGCAUUCCAAGUGCUGGGAUUAUAAUAGGUACAGAAACCAUCAUGCCUGUUUUAUGUAAGGCCAUGGAGGGAGUCCAGGACCUUGCACUGGGUUGCUCCAACUUCCCAUGUCCAACUGCAAGCAAAAGAGAAAAACACCCAUGAAUGACUGGCAGGGGAAGAAACAGCAAUGUGGACGGACUUCGUUCUCAGCUGCACAGGGACCUGACAGUGGCAACUCACAUGUCAAGAGGCAUAAGAAAAUGACUACUUUCAGGAGUGGAUUCUCAUCUGCCAGGGAUUCAGACAGGACCACCAGCAGAUUGUUAAAUGGUGACCCUGACCUCUUUUUGGUUCAAGUCUGGCUUAAGGAAAUAGAUAUGGCUUC